UACGUAGGGGGGCAAGCGUUGUCCGGAUUUAUUGGGCGUAAAGAGCGUGUAGGCGGCCAGGUAGGUCCGUUGUGAAAACUCGAGGCUCAACCUCGAGCUGUCGAUGGAAACCAUCUGGCUAGAGUCCGGAAGAGGAGAAUGGAAUUCCUGGUGUAGCGGUGAAAUGCGCAGAUAUCAGGAGGAACACCGGUGGCGAAGGCGGGUCUCUGGGCCGAUACUGACGCUGAGGAGCGAAGCCAGGGGAGCAAACGGG
RNAcentral lists this ribosomal RNA (253 nucleotides) under uncultured bacterium. RNAcentral describes it as "partial 16S ribosomal RNA". It matches the Rfam family "Bacterial small subunit ribosomal RNA", at positions 524 to 776 of the family's 1533-position model. The record is from RNAcentral.